GUUGUUGCAGUUAAAAAGCUUGUAGUUGAAUUUCGGGAUCAAUGUUUCGGUCAUGCCGUUGGUAUGUACUGAUAUUAUUGAUUUCUCACCUUCUAAAGAACCGUAAUGCCAUUAAUUUGGAGUCACGGGGAAUUAGGACUGUUACCUUGAAAAAAUCAGAGUGUUUAAAGCAGGCUCACGCUUGAAUACAUUAGCAUGGAAUAAUGAAAUAGGACAUCCGAUUCUAUUUUGUUGGUUUCUAGGAUCGAUGUAAUGAUUAAUAGGGAUAGUUGGGGGCAUUAGUAUUCAAUUGUCAGAGGUGAAAUUCUUGGAUUUAUUGAAGACUAACUACUGCGAAAGCAUUUGCCUAGGAUGUUUUCAUUAAUCAAGAACGAAAGUUAGGGGAUCGAAGACGAUCAGAUACCGUCGUAGUCUUAACCAUAAACUAUGCCGACUAGGGAUCGGAUGAUGUUAAUUUUUUAAUGACUCAUUCGGCGCCUUACGGGAAAC
RNAcentral lists this ribosomal RNA (489 nucleotides) under uncultured Glomeraceae. RNAcentral describes it as "SSU rRNA". It matches the Rfam family "Eukaryotic small subunit ribosomal RNA", at positions 609 to 1098 of the family's 1831-position model. Lineage: Eukaryota; Fungi; Glomeromycota; Glomeromycetes; Glomerales; Glomeraceae. The record is from RNAcentral.